UACGUAGGGGGCAAGCGUUGUCCGGAAUCAUUGGGCGUAAAGCGCGUGUAGGCGGCCCGGUAAGUCCGCUGUGAAAGUCCAGGGCUCAACCCUGGAAUGCCGGUGGAUACUGUCGGGCUCGAGUCCGGAAGAGGCGAGUGGAAUUCCUGGUGUAGCGGUGAAAUGCGCAGAUAUCAGGAGGAACACCGGUGGUGUAGACGGCUUUCUGGACCGUAACUGACGCUGAGACACGAAAGCGUGGGUAGCAAACAGG
RNAcentral lists this ribosomal RNA (253 nucleotides) under uncultured bacterium. RNAcentral's name for it is "partial 16S ribosomal RNA". It matches the Rfam family "Bacterial small subunit ribosomal RNA", at positions 524 to 776 of the family's 1533-position model. The record is from RNAcentral.